RNAcentral lists this long non-coding RNA (259 nucleotides) under Elaeis guineensis (African oil palm). RNAcentral describes it as "long non-coding RNA (EGUI_LNC006221)". The record is from RNAcentral. Lineage: Eukaryota; Viridiplantae; Streptophyta; Magnoliopsida; Arecales; Arecaceae.
GUGCUAAAAUGGGCCACGAAAGCAUGUUCGAGAUGUCCGAAGAAGUGGAUGCUUUCUGAGCGGAGGCCGGAGUACCAGGCCCUGGCGUCCUUGUGAAGUGUGGCGGGGAAACCGAUGCAGAGAAGGACAUCGGUCGCCCCUUGGAUCAUCAUGAGAGCCUUGUAGCUCUCCAGAUGGUCAAUUGGGUCGGUGGAGCCGUCGUAAGGCUCUACGUGAGACAUCUUGAACCGACUAGGGAUCGGCUCGUCGAGGAUGAGUC